UAAGGAAUAUUGGUCAAUGGGCGGAAGCCUGAACCAGCCAUGCCGCGUGCAGGAAGACGGCCCUACGGGUUGUAAACUGCUUUUAUACGGGAAUAAACCCACCUACGAGUAGGUGGCUGAAUGUACUGUAAGAAUAAGGAUCGGCUAACUCCGUGCCAGCAGCCGCGGUAAUACGGAGGAUCCAAGCGUUAUCCGGAUUUAUUGGGUUUAAAGGGUGCGUAGGCGGCCUGUUAAGUCAGGGGUGAAAGACGGUAGCUCAACUAUCGCAGUGCCCUUGAUACUGAUGGGCUUGAAUAUACUAGAGGUAGGCGGAAUGUGACAAGUAGCGGUGAAAUGCAUAGAUAUGUCACAGAACACCAAUUGCGAAGGCAGCUUACUAUGGUAUGAUUGACGCUGAGGCACGAAAGCGUGGGGAUCAAACA
RNAcentral lists this ribosomal RNA (422 nucleotides) under uncultured Mucilaginibacter sp. RNAcentral describes it as "bacterial SSU rRNA". It matches the Rfam family "Bacterial small subunit ribosomal RNA", at positions 355 to 774 of the family's 1533-position model. The record is from RNAcentral. Lineage: Bacteria; Pseudomonadati; Bacteroidota; Sphingobacteriia; Sphingobacteriales; Sphingobacteriaceae.